GGCUCAGGACGAACGUUGGCGGCGUGCCUAACACAUGCAAGUCGAACGGGGAUUUGUUUCGGCAGAAUCCUAGUGGCGAACGGGUGAGUAACGCGUAGGCAACCUGCCCUCCGGCCGGGGACAACACUCCGAAAGGGGUGCUAAUACCGGAUACGAAGUCUGUGCCGCAUGGUACGGAUUUGAAAGAUGGCCUCUAUUUAUAAGCUAUCGCCGGGGGAUGGGCCUGCGUCCGAUUAGCUGGUUGGUGGGGUAACGGCCUACCAAGGCGACGAUCGGUAGCCGGUCUGAGAGGAUGAACGGCCACAUUGGGACUGAGACACGGCCCAGACUCCUACGGGAGGCAGCAGUGGGGAAUCUUCCGCAAUGGGCGCAAGCCUGACGGAGCAACGCCGCCGUGAGUGAGGAAGUUCUUCGGAACGUAAAGCUCUGUUGUUCCUGACGAACCUCCCCUCUAUCAACAACGGAAGGGACUGACGGUAGGGAACGAGGAAGCCACGGCUAACUACGUGCCAGCCGCGGC
RNAcentral lists this ribosomal RNA (520 nucleotides) under uncultured bacterium. RNAcentral describes it as "bacterial SSU rRNA". It matches the Rfam family "Bacterial small subunit ribosomal RNA", at positions 21 to 518 of the family's 1533-position model. The record is from RNAcentral.